This 2104-nucleotide long non-coding RNA is filed under the name Panax ginseng (ginseng). Its description in RNAcentral is "long non-coding RNA (PGIN_LNC017086)". The record is from RNAcentral. Lineage: Eukaryota; Viridiplantae; Streptophyta; Magnoliopsida; Apiales; Araliaceae.
ACCCAAUUACUGAAUAGAAUCCACUAUUAAUAUUCAAAUCCGCAUAACAAUCCAGCAAAUACUAAUAAUAAUAUACUCUAGUAGAAAAUCCUAAGAAGAAGUAGAAAAAUAGAGUUUUGGCCUCCUUCCACGUUGGAAUCUCUCCCAGAGAGUAAACCCUAGUUACGCUGAUGAAAAAUACGACAAAAGAUAUACUAGAUACGUCUGACACCAGUCAGAUAUUGUUUUUAAUCACUUACAACCAUUUUAAUUAAAAAAUAAAAUAAAACAAAUCAGCAGCUUCAGACCUCACGCCCGGCUGCGCGCUCCUCCAGCACAUUCCUCUCGAGACCGCGAGACUUGCAGUAAGUUAUGAUGUCCAGCCGGGCUCUCGCGUGGGUGCGCGUCCCCUAGGCUUGUCAUGCUCGCGGUCGCGCAACUUGCAGUAGGUACCAUUGUCUGGCUGGGUACUUGCGCGGGCACACGUCUCCAAGUUCAUCCUGCCGCGCGGCCGCGCGGCUUGCGGUUGAUUAACUCUGAUUCUGCUUCUGAGUUUGGUUCUACAUUGUUGCUGCUGCUACUGAAGUGUCCUAUGUCCAUCCAUGCUCCACUCAAUCCUCAGCCAUGCACAUUCCAGCUUUUGCCUCGCCUCAUGCGUCCAUUAGCCUCGUGCCUUAUAAUACCACCAAAUUCGGCCGAUUCCUGCACUUAUUCAGCAAAAGGAGUUUUAAGUAUAUGCAAUGCAAACUAACAUGAAAUGCAGCUAAAACAUACUAAAAUGUACUUGAGAUGAGCAUAGUUCGCAUGAAUUGGUACUCCAUAAGUAGGUAUAAAACCCACUUAUCACCCAUAAAUUUUUUUUAUCAAUUUGGUUCAUUAAAUGCAUAGGUAAUCAAUUCGGUCAAAAGAGGUUUUGUUCUCACUAAAUGUUUAAGCACAUGCCCUUUUUCAUUUUCAAACCAGCAAAUAAACCGUGUCCCAAAAUUCUUGUCACAUUUUCAUUAGAAUAAAAGCUUUUUUUGUCACUGUAGUUUAGGAUAACAUACAAAUGAGUCAGUAAUUUUUUUUACAGUCAACUAAUUGAACUUUUAUUUACUUAAAAAUUUUUGAAUGUCGAUCAUUGGCGUUAAAUUUUUUAACGGAAGUGUGACAUGGCAAUCCCACAUGUGAACCAAAUCCUAGUUGGAAUGUUCUUUUAAUUAUUUUUUACAUAUCAUCUGAAAUCCACCCAUAAAAAUAAAGUACUCAUCCAAACCCAAAAAUACCCGCUACUUAUUAUAUAAUAAUAAUAAUAAUAAUAAUAAUAAUAAUAUAUCUGAAAUAAAAAAACAUAUUUUUGAAUUUUUUUCUUUGUCUUCUUUCUCAAAAUUUAUUCAUCCAAAGACCGAGAAGAUAAUGGGUUCUAAUAAGACUCUUUAUAUUUUGAAGAAAUCAACUAAAAAACUUAAAAGUUGAAUCAAUUAAAACCUCUUCUAGAUUUUUUCCUCAGAUUCUAACAAAAUCUAGUUCAGAUCUAAAUUUUAAAAUCAAAUUUGCGUUUAAUUAUUUGAUUGAUUUUGGGUAUUCAAACCCAAAUCGUUAAUUUUUUGGUUUGUGAUAACAGAUUGUCACCCCUAACCUCAUCAAUCAUCAUAUAUCCCAAAAGAAACCCUAAUUAAAGGCGUUCCUAAUUUUUCAAGAUGGCAACAUAUGAUGAUGGCUGAAGCAGAGCACGAGAUACAUCCUCUCAAAGAGUAUGAAGAUGAGGAGAGAGAAUGGAAAUUGAAGAAGGAACUACAACUAAUAGAUUUAGUUGAAACUGCAAAGGGAAGAGACAACAUAAUUAAUAACUUCGUCUCUUCUUCCUAACCUUCUCCUUCUUGAUUUUUGCUGGUUUUCUCUCUCCUCUUGGUCUUGUGAUGGCAUGCUUGGUUCCUCUCGCGGAAGUCAUCUAUGCUAUUAGCACCGCACCUGCAAGGAUUGUUGCCGAUGGAUCUCUAAAUCCUUCUGGUCUUGUUGUUCCCUCUGUUGGCAUGGUUGAAUCUGUGUAUCGGAUUAUUCUGACGAAUCUAAAAUGGAAUAUGAUUCUACUCAAAGCCCUCUAGUUGACUCCCAAGUCCAGACCAUUUUCAAAGUUGUUGCAGCU